This 30-nucleotide non-coding RNA is filed under the name Mus musculus (house mouse). The record is from RNAcentral. Lineage: Eukaryota; Metazoa; Chordata; Mammalia; Rodentia; Muridae.
UGAAAUAGUGUUUCGAUGUCUGUUCUUUCA